CUUUGAACUGAUCUCUCCGGCUUCUGUUCGUCUGUUAACUAUUUUGUUGCCCAUUUUCUCUUUCUUCUCUUGUUUUUUGUUUUUUGUCAUCAUGGAGCACUGGGAUUCUCAGAUGAUGCUGGAACAUAUGUACAUUCACAAUUAUUUGAUCAGAAACAACAUGCAGGAAACUGCCUGAGAUUUUCGCCAGAGAGGCUAAUGUCUGUCCCAAGGCUAUUGCAUUGGAACCUCCUGAAGGGUUUCUGUCAGAAUGGUGGUCAUUAUUUUGGAGUGUAUACUCUACUCAUUGCACAAAUCAUACUGAAGCACUAGAAGACUCUUGAUCAAAGGCAACAAAAUGCUGGAAGUGUGUCUCAGAAUGUUAAUUCUGUUACGCUGGACCCAGAUGUCGAUUAUAUUUUACAAACUCGCCCCACAGUGCAAAAGCCAGGACUUCCUAGUAUGCUACAAACUCUCAAUCCAAGGCCAGACAUAGAAAUUUUGCAGCAAAGUGAUGCUUCGAGAAUGAUGUCAAGGCCAAUAUUAGAACUUCCUAUUUCAGACUUCAGUACAAGGCCAGGACAAACAUCAAGAAGCUUGAUAACUGCACCAAUAUUUGAGCAAGAACGUCUUAAGCUUCCUGUCAGGGACUUGAAUUCUGACCCGCAGGUUCUAAAUGUCAAUGAAUUAGCUUGCAUGCUGCCAUCUUCAAGAAAUUCUAGCCACCUACUGGAGAAAUUAUAUAGGAAUCCUCAGCUUUCUGUUACUAGAUUUGAGGAGAUCCACUACCGCAGAACCAACUUAUCAUCCACCACGACCUAUUCAACCGAAAAUAGGACCUGCUGAUAGAGAUUGCCAAGGGGUGUCUUCAGCUUCCUGUCAAGAACAUGAAUUAUAACUCGGAGCUUUCUGAUUUUAAUCAGUUACGUUGCUUACUGCCAUCUUCAAGCAAUUGCAGCAUGCUUUCAGGAACGUAGUUUGUUUCACUUGGUCCCACGUACAUCCGGGAAGCUGAUAUUAUUACCUGCGUCUUGAAGUUCAUCCAAAAUGGCUAAAACGGAAAAGAUGUUGAGGUCACAUGUGUAACUGUUGACUCGAGGACACUAAGUUUGGCGUGUAAGGGCGCAAAGAUCUUUUUGACUAGUUGUCAAGACAACUUGCUGGACUGUCCGAGUUUCCUCAUGCUAUACAUCUGCUUACCCUCUGCAUCUGCUAUGAUGUUCGUAAAGCUGCUGAAGCAUGCUUUAGUGAAAUAGUCAGGGCUUGUGGACACGAAAUGGCAUGUGACACAAGUUUUGAAAAGUGUACAAGGUUCUUCUUUAGCUAUUGAUGUCGAACAACUGUAACCGUAUAGGACUUUCAAGAAAAUAUCGAAUCGGAUAGAUUGAUUUUAGCAACCAUAUAACAUCCAAAACCAGCUCAAAGGUUGGAAAAUCCAAUGCUUAUGGUGAUUGUGCGCUUCCAUCAUGGCAAGGAACAUAGUUGCAUCUUCAAGAGGCGCUCCUACCAAAGGACCAAGACAAGAUUGAUUGUAUCUGUUCACGACAUCAACAUUCAGUCACACGCCUGAAUGUGAAUGACUCAAACAAGGUAAGAUAAAUUUGGCAGUUGACAUACAAGGUAUGACCUUUUCUUUUUGGUAGUUAUGCUUGAUGUAAUUUUUUUUUUUGUUAAUUUUGUCUGAUUGGUGUCUUCUCAUUCUUUUUAUCUUUUGAUUAUUAGUGAUUGUGGGCUUUUUUUGAUUGGUCUGUGAUUUUUGGGGUUUUAUUCAGAAUUAUUUAUGUGUUUGUGCUUUUUGUAUUUUGAUUGUUUUUGUGAAUGUGGUGUUAUGUGGGUUUGACUGUUUCUGUGAUUUAUUAUGGAUUUUGGUGCAAUUUGAUGACCUAAUUGUUUGUUCUUGUUUCUUGGAUUUGAUCUUUUGUUUCUAGUUAGCUUGUAAUUGUGGGAUGCUUUUUGUGAUUCUCGAUUGUUUCUUGUGGAUUAUGAUUCUUGAAUUUUUAGUUUCUUGGAAUUUGUUUGUAAUUAGUUUUGUGAUUGUGGGCUUGGGUGCAACUGGUGUGAUAUUUGAAUUAGUUUCUUGGACCUUUCUUUGGGUGAAUUUGGUCUUAUUGAUGUUCCAAUAUUUGGUUAGUUUUCUGGGUGUUUGAUUCUUUUGUUGUUCUAAUGGAAUUUCAGUAAUUAGUUGUGUGAUUGUGGGUUUUUUUUUUUAUUGAUUGUUCUGUGGUUUGUGAAAUUUUAUUCUGGUUGUUUAUGUGAUUGUACUGUUUGUAGUGUAAUUUGACGUGUGAUUAUUGUUUGUCUUGUGAUUAACUAUGAUUCAUGGUUUUUUCUGUCUGUCGUGUGAUUUCUGGAUUUGUAUUGUUUAUUGUAUUUUGAUUGUUUGAUCUUUUUUGUUUGUGGUCUUGUGAAAUUACUUGAAUUGUUGUGGAUAUUGGUGCAAUUUGACUUAAUUGUUUGAACUUGUUUCUUUGAUUAGAUAUUUUGUCUUCUAAAUAGUUUAUGUGAUUAUCGGUUGUUUGUAUUCUUUUUGUGAUUGUGGUUUGUCUUGUGAUUCUUUUUGUGAUUGUGGUUUGUGUUCUAAUUCUUUUUGUGAUCGCGAGUUUCUCUUAUGAAUUUUUGUGAAUGUGGGUACUUUUCUCAUUGAUUGUUAUGUGAUUUGUGGGAUUUUAUUCUCUGAUUGUUUAUGAGAUUGUGUUGUUUAUGGUCUCAUUGUAUUCAUAACUGAGAGGUUAUGUGGAUUUCUUUUGUUUCUGUAAUUUAUCGUGGGUUUUGGUGCAAUUUGAGUUAAUUAUUGGUACUUGUUUCUUGGAUUUGAUCUUUUGUUUCUAAUUAGAUUGUAAUUGUGGGUGGUUGUUUGUGAUGCUUGAUUGUUUCUUUGUCAGUUAUGAUUCUUGAAUUUUCAGUUUCUUACUUUCUUGGAAUUUGCUUGAUUUUAUCUUGUAAUUAGUUUUGUUACUGUGGAUUCAUUUUGGUUGUGGUGCUUGAUGUUUUUUUUUCGUUAAUUUUGUGCAACUAAUAUCUUAUGAUCUUUUUUUCUUGUGGUUGUUCGUGAUUGUGUGUUUUUUGUGAUUGUUGUGUGAUUUUUGGGUUUGUGCUUUUUGUAUUUUGAUUGUUUUUGUAACUGUGGUGUGUGUGGGUUUGCACUGUUUCUGUGAUUUAUUGUGGGUUUUGGUGCAUUUUGAUGACCUAAUUGUUCAUUCUUGUUUCUUGGAUUUGAUCUUUUGUUUCUAAUUAGUCUGUAAUUGUGGGAUGCUUUUUGUGAUUCUUGUGGACUAUGAUUCUUGAAUUUUUAGUUUCUUGGAAUUUUGUUUUAAUUUUGUCUUGUAAUUAGUUAUGUGAUUGUGGGUUUGUGGUGCAACUGGUAUGAAUCUGAAUCAGUUUCUUAGACUUUUUUUUGUGGUGUGAUUAUUUAUUUUGUUUUUGGUUAAUUUGGUUUGAUUGAUGUUCUUAAUGUUUGGUUACUUUUCUCGAUGUUUGAUUAUUUUGAUGUUCUGACGGAAUUUUAGCUUAGUUUUGUGAUUGUGGGUUUGCGGUGCAACUGGCUUGAUAUUUGAAUCGUUUCUUGGACUUUUCUAUUUAGUUGUGAUUCUUGAUAUUAUUUGGUUAAUUUGGUGCUACUGAAGUAAGAUUAUUCAGUUAGUUUUCUUGGUGUUUGAUUCUUUUGAAUGUUGUAAUGGGAUUUCAUCCCCUUGCUAUUAUUGAGACAUAGUUUCAUCAAGCUAUGUAUUUCGAUGUUGGUAGUAGUGUUUCAAGCAAGAGCAUUGUGGUUAAGGUAAUUUAUUGUUCUAGAAGUUUAAAUUUUCGUGUAUGGUAUGUUCUAUGUUCAUACUAGUUUUAGUAUAAUGCUUUUGUAUACUUGCAACACGGCUGGGGACUGGGAGGGUUAGAUGGAAUUGGAGCGAACAAGAUGUUUAUUGCCUACCAUCUCUAAUGUUAAAUCCACCUCAGCCCCCAAUGUUGAAGAAAUUUCAAAACAAUUCACCUUUUCUGUUGAUGGUACAAAAUCUUUCUUAACUCGGUGCCACAAUUACUUUCAUUUAUAUUUUUUUUUAUUUGAAAUAAAAGAGCCUAUUUUAGCGUAACUCCUUCCACUUUUAGGAUAGCCAAGUUUAUUAAUUUGGCAAAAUUGCAAAAAUGGUCCCGUAAGUAUGAGGGGUAACAGAAUUGGGACCGUAAGUAUAGGACUGACAAUUUUGAUCCUAUAAGUAUUGAUUUUUGGACAAUUUUGGUCCUAUAAGUAUUGAAAAUAAAAUCAUACCUUAAGAAAGUCUGUUUUCUUGUAGUGAGAUAUAAAUAUUUAACAUAAAUUAUUAUAAUCUAUUUAUUUUAAAUAAUAAUAAUAAGUCAUUGCUUUCACUUGUAAAAAAAUAUCCAUAGUAACAAUUGCAACGAGCGAAGAUGAUGACAAUGUAGAACUUCGAGUUGAGGUGAGGAGAAUAAAUUUAAUUAAAUAUUAAAAAAUAACUCCCUUUAUUUAUAUUUUAUUCAAGAAUAUAAGUAUUUUAUUAUUGUAUUUUUUCUCUGUUAGAAAAAUGAGAAAUUAAGUUGAAAAAUAACAAAUAAUGUGAGAGAAAAACUUAAUUAACUUUAAACAAACAUAACUUUGGACAGGUUUUGUAAUCUUCUACGAUUUUGAAUGAUUAAAAGUAAAAUUUAUAAUACUUCUAAGUGCUUUUAUAUAUAGUGGAGAACAAAUAAUAUUUGCGAUAGGCAAGCAAAAUUUUUUCCAAGAAAAAUUUUAGGGGCAUGUGUAAUUUAAACAUACUUUAAAUCAUCGCUGUGAAGCAGCUUUCUUCGAAAUCAAAGCAGGGGAACCGUGAGUUUGUGAAUGAAAUAGGCAUGAUUUCUGCUCUUCAACACCCUCAUCGCCGGAACUUUGGAUAUAUGGCACCUGAAUAUGCUAUGCGAGGCUAUUUGAAAGACAAAGCAGACGUCUCCAGCUAUGGAGUUGUUCUUCUUGAAGUAGUCAGCGGAAGGAGCAAUACUAGCAUCAAGACGAAGGAGGACGCCUUCUAUCUCCUUGACUGGGAGAAAGGAAAGUUGAUGGAACUAGUCGACCCAAGACUAGAACCCGACGACUUCAACAGGGAAAGGUUAUGAGGGCUAUCCAUGUAGCACUCCUUUGCACAAACGUCGUAGCUGCAGAAAGGCCGACUAUGUCAACAGUCGUGAGCAUGCUUGAGGGGAGUGCUAGUGUUGGGGAGUUUGUUUCAGAUUCUAACGUCUCCAUUACAAACCUCAACAGUAAGGAAAUGGCGACGACGAUCAAGGACGUUUGGAGCGAGAGCAUAUCGAUGGAUGUGCCGUUGACGGCUUCCUCAGCUUCUGCUGCUGAUCUCUAUCCACUCAGUUUGGAUACUGAUUACUGGGAGAAGAGAGAGCGUCAGUAAAGCAGACCUAUGGCCAGAAUUGUUUUUCACUUUUCUCUUCCUCCUCAAUGCAACAGUUAGCGGAAGAGAAAGCAAAUAACUGUUGCUCAACAUUUUUAUGUUUCUCACAACACUUGCGCAAAAGAUUUAAGAAAGAUGUUCUUAGAACUUAUAAAUAUUAUUUUAGAAAUAAAAUUUUCAAAUUCA
This is a non-coding RNA of Sesamum indicum (sesame), 5555 nucleotides long. Lineage: Eukaryota; Viridiplantae; Streptophyta; Magnoliopsida; Lamiales; Pedaliaceae. The record is from RefSeq and is a predicted model, not a curated record.